This 695-nucleotide ribosomal RNA is filed under the name uncultured bacterium. RNAcentral describes it as "bacterial SSU rRNA". It matches the Rfam family "Bacterial small subunit ribosomal RNA", at positions 61 to 774 of the family's 1533-position model. The record is from RNAcentral.
GUCGAUUCGAUUUACCUUCGGGUAUUGAGGAUGGCGGACGGGUGAGUAACGCGUAAGGAACUUGCCUCUUGGUCUGGGACAACUGUUGGAAACGACAGCUAAUACCGGAUAUUAUGAGAUUCUCGCAUGGGAAACUUAUGAAAGCUAUAUGCGCCAAGAGAGAGCCUUGCGUUCCAUUAGCUAGUUGGUGGGGUAACGGCCCACCAAGGCGAUGAUGGAUAGCCGACCUGAGAGGGUGAACGGCCACAAGGGGACUGAGACACGGCCCUUACUCCUACGGGAGGCAGCAGUGGGGAAUAUUGGACAAUGGACCAAAAGUCUGAUCCAGCAAUUCUGUGUGCACGAUGAAGGUCUUCGGAUUGUAAAGUGCUUUCAGUUGGGAAGAAGCAAGUGACGGUACCAACAGAAGAAGCGACGGCUAAAUACGUGCCAGCAGCCGCGGUAAUACGUAUGUCGCAAGCGUUAUCCGGAUUUAUUGGGCGUAAAGCGCGUCUAGGCGGAAAAAUAAGUCUGAUGUUAAAAUGCGGGGCUCAACUCCGUAUUGCGUUGGAAACUGUUUUUCUAGAGUACUGGAGAGGUGGGCGGAACUACAAGUGUAGAGGUGAAAUUCGUAGAUAUUUGUAGGAAUGCCGAUGGAGAAGUCAGCUCACUGGACAGAUACUGACGCUAAAGCGCGAAAGCGUGGGGAGCAAACA